Non-coding RNA from Heterocephalus glaber (naked mole-rat), 207 nucleotides. The record is from RefSeq and is a predicted model, not a curated record. Lineage: Eukaryota; Metazoa; Chordata; Mammalia; Rodentia; Bathyergidae.
CAGGUACAACUCUAAGUCUUCUCACUGAGCCUUUUACUACAGGGACAGCUAGACUGUCACCAGGUAUAACCACAGCAGGGGACAAUGGAGGCAGAAGUGUCACAACUUUCUCAGCAGGGACCACGAGAGAAUCUCUGUCCUCCGGAUCCGCAGUGACAACCGGUGCCACAAAUUCUGGUAGCAGCCCAGCAGGUGAGCACGAAGGAG